UUCUCAGUAGCCAGUGAGCGGGGCAGAAAAGAGAAGGGCUGCUUUCUGCCUCAGGGAUUACUUUAAAACACACGCACAAACGGCGUUUGCGUUAUCCCUUUUCCUCUUCGCUUUAUGGUUCUGGCAGCUGAUCCGAAUUGGCUUCCCCAGGGCCCUCGCCCAUCCCGACUUCUCACAAGCUUCGCUUCCUUUCCUUCCGCACAUUAUCGCUUCCCCCCGACCGCUAAAGUUUUGUCUUCCUCACACACAAACAACCUGUAGGACUCUUCUCCUCACGAAUCCCACCAGCCUCCGUUAUUCACUCAGGACCGUCAGGAGCGCCCUCAGGGCAGGACCUCGGGGGACAGAAGUCAGUCGAACAAGCCACGAAGGCCUCAAACGCAGCAGCCCUUUAGAAUUAGAGUGCUCCAGAAACACAACACAGUCAAAGAAAGUUGUGACCGGCUGGCACAUAUAGACAAACCUGUCUACACGGCUUCCUUGUUUGCAGAAUAGAAAACGGAAUAACUGUGAAAAAUAAGCUAUAGAAAUAAGGCAAGAAACAUUUAGCUGCUGGAGGAAAAAACGCAAUAGCUCCAGAAGAGAGGGGUGAGUGGGAAGUACAGCGUUUAUAUUCAAAUACGUGUGU
Molecule: long non-coding RNA, 628 nt
Organism: Podarcis raffonei (Aeolian wall lizard)
Lineage: Eukaryota; Metazoa; Chordata; Lepidosauria; Squamata; Lacertidae
Exons: 3
Source: RefSeq, a predicted model, not a curated record